Molecule: ribosomal RNA, 429 nt
Filed under: Acidobacteriota bacterium
Lineage: Bacteria; Pseudomonadati; Acidobacteriota
Description: Acidobacteria bacterium partial 16S ribosomal RNA
Rfam family: Bacterial small subunit ribosomal RNA
Source: RNAcentral
UGGGGAAUUUUGGACAAUGGGCGCAAGCCUGAUCCAGCAAUGCCGCGUGUGUGAAGAAGGCCUUCGGGUUGUAAAGCACUUUUGUCCGGAAAGAAAACCUCGUGGUUAAUACCCGUGGGGGAUGACGGUAUCGGAAGAAUAAGCACCGGCUAACUACGUGCCAGCAGCCGCGGUAAUACGUAGGGUGCAAGCGUUAAUCGGAAUUACUGGGCGUAAAGCGUGCGCAGGCGGUUCGCUAAGACAGAUGUGAAAUCCCCGGGCUUAACCUGGGAACUGCAUUUGUGACUGGCGGGCUAGAGUAUGGCAGAGGGGGGUAGAAUUCCACGUGUAGCAGUGAAAUGCGUAGAGAUGUGGAGGAAUACCGAUGGCGAAGGCAGCCCCCUGGGCCAAUACUGACGCUCAUGCACGAAAGCGUGGGGAGCAAACAGG